Molecule: long non-coding RNA, 201 nt
Filed under: Vigna radiata
Lineage: Eukaryota; Viridiplantae; Streptophyta; Magnoliopsida; Fabales; Fabaceae
Description: long non-coding RNA (VRAD_LNC014184)
Source: RNAcentral
GGGGGGUUGUGAAAGGUUUUGUGAAUGCGGAUUAAUUAAAUUAAAACACGAAUGCAAACAAAAAUGAUAAGAACAGAAAUGUAAACAUAAAUGUAAAAAUAGAAUCAAAUACAGAAUAAAAACGGUUGGUCAUUAACUCAAUUACUAUGCUUCAAAUCACAUAUUAAUGACAAUUAAAGUGCAAGAGUCUCAUGAAUAAAC